RNAcentral lists this ribosomal RNA (253 nucleotides) under uncultured bacterium. RNAcentral describes it as "partial 16S ribosomal RNA". It matches the Rfam family "Bacterial small subunit ribosomal RNA", at positions 524 to 776 of the family's 1533-position model. The record is from RNAcentral.
UACGGAGGGGGCGAGCGUUGUUCGGAAUCAUUGGGCGUAAAGGGCGCGUAGGCGGCGUCGUAAGUCAGAUGUGAAAGCCCUUGGCUUAACCAAGGAAUUGCAUCUGAAACUGCGGUGCUUGAAUCCGGGAGGGGAGAGUGGAAUUCCCAGUGUAGCGGUGAAAUGCGUAGAUAUUGGGAGGAACACCGGCGGCGAAGGCGGCUCUCUGGACCGGUAUUGACGCUGAGGCGCGAAAGCUAGGGGAGCAAACGGG